GAUAUUAACUAGCUUCCAGGAGGCGGAGGCCAGCGCCUCCCUGCAUCCCCGUCUCGGCAUUAAACCAAACGUGGACGCCCUUGAUAGACUUUUAAAGGGAAAGCAGGAAUCGUCCUUUACACUUCACCUGCUUUUUACAGCGCAGGGGCCUCUGACAUUUGUGUAAAAUCCACCCGCCAGGAACCGCAGGCUCAGAGCUCAGAAGCGCCCUGUCCUCUUCAGGAGCCCGGGGGCUGACGCCACUCCUUCGAGGGGGCCAAGGCUGAAAAAUCAGCUGGCAAAAGGCAGAUUAAUUGGAGAAAAGGCAUACACGUUUAUGUAACGUAUGUACACAGGAGCCUUCAGCAUAAAGAACGAACGUACAGGGGAACUUGUCCACUUUUAUGCUUCUGUCCAACAAAGUAUGGACGGCCGGGUAGAAUAUGAUCAGACAAGAAGGGUGUGAUCUAACGCUGAGACCGAGUGAGGACACCCAGCAAGGCCUGUCCGGCUAGAUUCUGCCUGGCCUCUCUGAGCACACAUUCCUUCCUUCUGGAAUGAGGGGGUCUUAUGACCAGCAGUCAAACAAGGAAUUUAUAGUGACAGCCUAGUGGUGACCAGCUCUAGGAAAAGACGCUGAAGAGGACGCUCCCAGCACCUGGGACAGAGGAGAGAACAGACACACCAGGGAAGCAGCCUUGGAAAGGGGAUGCAGACAUGAGGCUUUUCAGGGCUUCAGAUCUACAUGACUGCACCCAAUGGACAGGCUCUGUACAAUCACUGCCCACAAGCCCAACAGGUAGCCACUCGAGACACACACACUGAGGGGACUUCGGGGCUGGCUGACUUGCUCAGAUGCAUUUUAACAAAAACCCCCAUCACCAUCCUGCUCACAUUCCUACCGUCACCUCAAACAUCUCUGCUUUUAGCUCCAGAUUCUUCUCAACAUAACUGAGUAACUAACCACAAUGGAUAUGAAAUACUGUUGAGUAGGUUAAAGUCCUUAAUAAGUCAAGCGUCUUAGCAUAUUUUUGAAGUCGUAUCUAUAAUCAAAGCCUGGAGCACCUGUUUGUUCAACACAGUUAUCUUUCAUCCAGAAUUACAAAAUAUAGAAGCUGUCAUUCUUGAGUUUCCCCAUGGGUCCCUGGUAUUGCCCACGUGGGAACAACAGGAAGGGUGGAGGUGAGGGCACAGCACUGUACUACAGCUGCAGGGCUGAUCAAGGGAAUCUCAUGAGGUGCUUUUUAUCAUUUAAUGUGCCAACAACAGGAGGACAACCAUGUGCUUCUAGAACAGGGUGAAGGCCCUCCUCACGGGAGUGAUCCCUAAUCUGGCCCCAGCACCGUGAAAGGUGAAUAGCUGUCAAUAUCUACUUUCACCUAAACCUAAGCUUUUAAAAUUCUGACCAAGUGGUGAAAGGUGCCAUCUAAAGUGCUCUCUGUUGCUCGCUGAGGAGCUAAGAACUCCUGCGGCUCACUCAGGACACAGGUGUCAGGAAACUAAAGGAGCAGGGCUCCUUUGCAGCCCAGGCCCUGUGCCGCAGCUCUGCCCAGCUCAGCGGUGUAGCUCCCAGAGUCAUGGACUGCUCGCAUCUGUUCUGGCCGGCUGGUGCCCACACUGGAGAGACUGGCAAGUAUCUUGAGUGUCAUCCCCAAUGGCCCCAGGAAGGAAAAUGGACUCUGUUCUUCACUUUCAUUACUGUUGAGCUGCUGAAUUCUCUUGCAAAAACCAUCAACAGGCAUUUACUAAGCAAAUGCCCACAGGGAACCCAGCCUGAAAAGGGCCCUUCCAAUUUCAUAUUUGACAGGCAUGUGCAGAGGUAAUGAAAUUAUUCAGCAGAGCAUCAGAUUCACUCAGAGGCUACCAAGCCAAGAAACUGAAAGCAGAAACACUGGAUUCUCCCUGUUUGUUGAACCUUUCCCUCUAAAACCAACUUAUUCAGAAACACAUCCUUUAAAAAAACAAAAGGAAAAACCAAAGCGGUGAAACAAUAUCACUUACUGGUUGGAAGACAUCACUCUGACAUAGUCAUUAGUCUUGCAGAGACCUAACACCAGGCAGCUUCACAAACACACAGCAAGUCUGCAGAGUUAUAUUGAUCAGUAAGAGUAAACCCAAACUGCACUAAAUACUCUCAUGGCCAAGAGGAAAGCAGAUGCUGUUUUCAGGACAAUGUGAUAGUGACAGCCUAUUUCCUCAUGUGCAGCACAAUUUGCUAUGUUUAGUGGCACUUAAGUAUUACACAGUAAAUACUGAAAAGACCCAGAAUUUUUGGAUGUGCAGAAGCAAUAUCACAUUGUUUAUACAAAAGGUGCUAUGCUACGGGAUUAGAAUACCACUAUUUGGGUGUAGAGACCACUUAAAAUCUUCAACACGCUCCCACACGCGGCCUCUCCGCCGGCCUUUGCUCAGUCGGACCAGUCGUUCUCGUCGAACUCUGAGUCGUCGUCAGAGUCGCUGUACUCCACGGCAAUGCGCCGGGACAGGAUCGUGGCCACGUCAUUCCCCACUGGCUCCCGCUUGGCCUCCUGCUCCCGCUGCUCCUGCACCUUUUUCAGUUGAAUUCCUGCAGACACAACACGUGGUUCAGAAUCACAUCCUUUUGCUGGCUCCA
Long non-coding RNA from Homo sapiens (human), 2593 nucleotides. Lineage: Eukaryota; Metazoa; Chordata; Mammalia; Primates; Hominidae. The record is from Ensembl.